GUGCUAAUCUGCGAUAAGCGUCGGUAAGGUGAUAUGAACCGUUAUAACCGGCGAUUUCCGAAUGGGGAAACCCAGUGUGAUUCGUCACACUAUCAUUAACUGAAUCCAUAGGUUAAUGAGGCGAACCGGGGGAACUGAAACAUCUAAGUACCCCGAGGAAAAGAAAUCAACCGAGAUUCCCCCAGUAGCGGCGAGCGAACGGGGAGGAGCCCAGAGCCUGAAUCAGUGUGUGUGUUAGUGGAAGCGUCUGGAAAGGCGCGCGAUACAGGGUGACAGCCCCGUACACAAAAAUGCACAUGCUGUGAGCUCGAUGAGUAGGGCGGGACACGUGGUAUCCUGUCUGAAUAUGGGGGGACCAUCCUCCAAGGCUAAAUACUCCUGACUGACCGAUAGUGAACCAGUACCGUGAGGGAAAGGCGAAAAGAACCCCGGCGAGGGGAGUGAAAAAGAACCUGAAACCGUGUACGUACAAGCAGUGGGAGCCUCUUUAUGGGGUGACUGCGUACCUUUUGUAUAAUGGGUCAGCGACUUAUAUUCUGUAGCAAGGUUAACCGAAUAGGGGAGCCGAAGGGAAACCGAGUCUUAACUGGGCGUUAAGUUGCAGGGUAUAGACCCGAAACCCGGUGAUCUAGCCAUGGGCAGGUUGAAGGUUGGGUAACACUAACUGGAGGACCGAACCGACUAAUGUUGAAAAAUUAGCGGAUGACUUGUGGCUGGGGGUGAAAGGCCAAUCAAACCGGGAGAUAGCUGGUUCUCCCCGAAAGCU
This 766-nucleotide ribosomal RNA is filed under the name Escherichia coli. RNAcentral's name for it is "bacterial LSU rRNA". It matches the Rfam family "Bacterial large subunit ribosomal RNA", at positions 58 to 867 of the family's 2925-position model. The record is from RNAcentral. Lineage: Bacteria; Pseudomonadati; Pseudomonadota; Gammaproteobacteria; Enterobacterales; Enterobacteriaceae.